ACCAGUACCGUGAGGGAAAGGUGAAAAGCACCCCGGAAGGGGAGUGAAAUAGAACCUGAAACCGUGUGCUUACAAGUAGUCAGAGCCCGUUAAUGGGUGAUGGCGUGCCUUUUGUAGAAUGAACCGGCGAGUUACGAUUUGAUGCAAGGUUAAGCAGUAAAUGUGGAGCCGUAGCGAAAGCGAGUCUGAAUAGGGCGUUUAGUAUUUGGUCGUAGACCCGAAACCAGGUGAUCUACCCUUGGUCAGGUUGAAGUUCAGGUAACACUGAAUGGAGGACCGAACCGACUUACGUUGAAAAGUGAGCGGAUGAACUGAGGGUAGCGGAGAAAUUCCAAUCGAACCUGGAGAUAGCUGGUUCUCUCCGAAAUAGCUUUAGGGCUAGCCUCAAGUGAUGAUUAUUGGAGGUAGAGCACUGUUUGGACGAGGGGCCCCUCUCGGGUUACCGAAUUCAGACAAACUCCG
RNAcentral lists this ribosomal RNA (462 nucleotides) under Staphylococcus aureus. RNAcentral's name for it is "partial 23S ribosomal RNA". It matches the Rfam family "Bacterial large subunit ribosomal RNA", at positions 494 to 958 of the family's 2925-position model. Lineage: Bacteria; Bacillati; Bacillota; Bacilli; Caryophanales; Staphylococcaceae. The record is from RNAcentral.